GGGGCUGAUUCUGGAUUCGACGGGAUUUGCGAAACCCAAGGUGCAUGCCGAGGGGCGGUUGGCCUCGUAAAAAGCCGCAAAAAAUAGUCGCAAACGACGAAAACUACGCUUUAGCAGCUUAAUAACCUGCUUAGAGCCCUCUCUCCCUAGCCUCCGCUCUUAGGACGGGGAUCAAGAGAGGUCAAACCCAAAAGAGAUCGCGUGGAAGCCCUGCCUGGAGUUGAAGCGUUAAAACUUAAUCAGGCUAGUUUGUUAGUGGCGUGUCCGUCCGCAGCUGGCAAGCGAAUGUAAAGACUGACUAAGCAUGUAGUACCGAGGAUGUAGGAAUUUCGGACGCGGGUUCAACUCCCGCCAGCUCCACCA
RNAcentral lists this transfer-messenger RNA (363 nucleotides) under Escherichia coli. RNAcentral describes it as "Standard tmRNA". It matches the Rfam family "transfer-messenger RNA". Rfam says of the family: Bacterial tmRNA, also known as 10Sa RNA or SsrA, is named for its dual tRNA and mRNA-like properties. Its role is to liberate the mRNA from a stalled ribosome. Lineage: Bacteria; Pseudomonadati; Pseudomonadota; Gammaproteobacteria; Enterobacterales; Enterobacteriaceae. The record is from RNAcentral. RNAcentral also lists the same sequence under 1 other name.